Molecule: ribosomal RNA, 358 nt
Filed under: uncultured bacterium
Lineage: Bacteria
Description: partial 16S ribosomal RNA
Rfam family: Bacterial small subunit ribosomal RNA
Source: RNAcentral
CCAGACUCCUACGGGAGGCAGCAGUGGGGAAUAUUGCACAAUGGGGGGAACCCUGAUGCAGCGACGCCGCGUGGGUGAAGGAGCACCUCGGUGCGUAAAGCCCUAUCGGCAGGGAAGAAAAGCGAACAGGUUCGCCUGGACGGUACCUGACUAAGAAGCCCCGGCUAACUACGUGCCAGCAGCCGCGGUAAUACGUAGGGGGCAAGCGGUAUCCGGAUUUACUGGGUGUAAAGGGAGCGUAGACGGCGAUGCAAGUCUGAAGAGAAAGGCGGGGGCCCAACCCCCGGACUGCUUUGGAAACUGUAUAGCUGGAGUACAGGAGAGGGAGGUGGAAUUCCUAGUGUAGCGGUGAAAUUCG